GACGAACGCUGGCGGCGUGCUUAACACAUGCAAGUGGAGCGACGAACCAGGCUUCGGCCUGGGGCAAAGCCGCGAACGGGUGAGUAACACGUGGGUAACGUGCCUCGAUGACCGGGACAACCCGAGGAAACUCGGGCUAAUACCGGAUGUGCUCCCACCACAUCAGUGGUGUGAGUAAAGGUAGCUUCGGCCUCCGCAUCGAGAUCGGCCCGCGGCGCAUUAGCUUGUUGGNGGGGUAACGGCGUUACCAAGGCAACGAUGCGUAGCUGGUCUGAGAGGACGGACAGCCACACUGGGACUGAGACACGGCCCAGACUCCUACGGGAGGCAGCAGUGAGGAAUUUUCCGCAAUGGGCGAAAGCCUGACGGAGCAACGCCGCGUGAGGGAUGAAGUCUCUAGGGAUGUAAACCUCUGUUGGGAGGGACGAAAAUUUGACGGUACCUCCUGAGGAAG
Molecule: ribosomal RNA, 454 nt
Filed under: uncultured bacterium
Lineage: Bacteria
Description: bacterial SSU rRNA
Rfam family: Bacterial small subunit ribosomal RNA
Source: RNAcentral